AUUGAACGCUGGCGGCAGGCUUAACACAUGCAAGUCGAGCGGUAGCACAGGGGAGCUUGCUCCCUGGGUGACGAGCGGCGGACGGGUGAGUAAUGUCUGGGAAACUGCCUGAUGGAGGGGGAUAACUACUGGAAACGGUAGCUAAUACCGCAUAACGUCGCAAGACCAAAGAGGGGGACCUUCGGGCCUCUUGCCAUCAGAUGUGCCCAGAUGGGAUUAGCUAGUAGGUGGGGUAAUGGCUCACCUAGGCGACGAUCCCUAGCUGGUCUGAGAGGAUGACCAGCCACACUGGAACUGAGACACGGUCCAGACUCCUACGGGAGGCAGCAGUGGGGAAUAUUGCACAAUGGGCGCAAGCCUGAUGCAGCCAUGCCGCGUGUGUGAAGAAGGCCUUCGGGUUGUAAAGCACUUUCAGCGAGGAGGAAGGUGGUGAGCUUAAUACGUUCAUCAAUUGACGUUACUCGCAGAGGAAGCACCGGCUAACUCCGUG
RNAcentral lists this ribosomal RNA (490 nucleotides) under uncultured bacterium. RNAcentral describes it as "partial 16S ribosomal RNA". It matches the Rfam family "Bacterial small subunit ribosomal RNA", at positions 30 to 507 of the family's 1533-position model. The record is from RNAcentral.